AUGAACGCUGGCGGCGUGCUUAACACAUGCAAGUCGAACGGAAAGGCCCAAGCUUGCUUGGGUACUCGAGUGGCGAACGGGUGAGUAACACGUGGGUGAUCUGCCCUGCACUUCGGGAUAAGCCUGGGAAACUGGGUCUAAUACCGGAUAGGACGAUGGUUUGGAUGCCAUUGUGGAAAGUUUUUUCGGUGUGGGAUGAGCUCGCGGCCUAUCAGCUUGUUGGUGGGGUAAUGGCCUACCAAGGCGUCGACGGGUAGCCGGCCUGGGAGGGUGUACGGCCACAUUGGGACGGAGAUACGGCCCAGACUCCUACGGGAGGCAGCAGUGGGGAAUAUUGCACAAUGGGCGCAAGCCUGAUGCAGCGACGCCGCGUGGGGGAUGACGGCCUUCGGGUUGUAAACUCCUUUCGCUAGGGACGAAGCGUUUUUGUGACGGUACCUGGAGAAGAAGCACCGGCUAACUACGUG
This 467-nucleotide ribosomal RNA is filed under the name uncultured bacterium. RNAcentral's name for it is "partial 16S ribosomal RNA". It matches the Rfam family "Bacterial small subunit ribosomal RNA", at positions 29 to 507 of the family's 1533-position model. The record is from RNAcentral.